Molecule: ribosomal RNA, 253 nt
Filed under: uncultured bacterium
Lineage: Bacteria
Description: partial 16S ribosomal RNA
Rfam family: Bacterial small subunit ribosomal RNA
Source: RNAcentral
UACGAAGGGAGCUAGCGUUGUUCGGAAUCACUGGGCGUAAAGCGCACGUAGGCGGAUGUGUCAGUCAGGGGUGAAAUCCCGGAGCUCAACUUCGGAACUGCCUUUGAUACAGCACGUCUUGAGUCCGAUAGAGGUGGGUGGAAUUCCUAGUGUAGAGGUGAAAUUCGUAGAUAUUAGGAAGAACACCAGUGGCGAAGGCGGCUCACUGGUCCGGUACUGACGCUGAUGUGCGAAAGCGUGGGGAGCAAACAGG